GACGAACGCUGGCGGCGUGCCUAACACAUGCAAGUCGAGCGAAGGAUAUAUGAGGAAAUCUUCGGAUGGAAUCAUAUAAGCUUAGCGGCGGACGGGUGGGUAACGCGUGAGCAACCUGCCUCAAACAGGGGGAUAACGCAUCGAAAGAUGUGCUAAUACCGCGUAAGACCACAGCACCGCAUGGUGCAGAGGUCAAAGGAGCAAUCCGGUUUGAGAUGGGCUCGCGUCCGAUUAGCUAGUUGGUGAGAUAACAGCCCACCAAGGCGACGAUCGGUAGCCGGACUGAGAGGUUGAACGGCCACAUUGGGACUGAGACACGGCCCAG
This 325-nucleotide ribosomal RNA is filed under the name uncultured bacterium. RNAcentral describes it as "bacterial SSU rRNA". It matches the Rfam family "Bacterial small subunit ribosomal RNA", at positions 28 to 334 of the family's 1533-position model. The record is from RNAcentral.